GCCUCUGUGGUGUAGUGGUAGGGAACGCGCCCCACGGUAUGGAUGGAACGCGGGUUCGAUUCCCUGCUGAGGCC
Parelaphostrongylus tenuis is the source of this 74-nucleotide non-coding RNA. The record is from the annotation of a GenBank genome assembly. Lineage: Eukaryota; Metazoa; Nematoda; Chromadorea; Rhabditida; Metastrongylidae.